CCUACGGGGGGCUGCAGUGGGGAAUAUUGGACAAUGGGCGAAAGCCUGAUCCAGCCAUGCCGCGUGUGUGAAGAAGGCCUUCGGGUUGUAAGGCACUUUCAGUGGGGAAGAAAGCCUUGGGGCUAAUACCCUCGAGGAAGGACAUCACCCACAGAAGAAGCACCGGCUAACUCCGUGCCAGCAGCCGCGGUAAUACGGAGGGUGCGAGCGUUAAUCGGAAUUACUGGGCGUAAAGCGCGCGUAGGCGGUCUGAUAAGCCGGUUGUGAAAGCCCCGGGCUCGACCUGGGAACGGCAUCCGGAACUGUCAGGCUAGAGUGCAGGAGAGGAAGGUAGAAUUCCCGGUGUAGCGGUGAAAUGCGUAGAGAUCGGGAGGAAUACCAGUGGCGAAGGCGGCCUUCUGGACUGACACUGACGCUGAGGUGCGAAAGCGUGGGUAGCAAACAGGAUUAGAUACCCCUGUAGUC
RNAcentral lists this ribosomal RNA (465 nucleotides) under Vreelandella stevensii. RNAcentral describes it as "partial 16S ribosomal RNA". It matches the Rfam family "Bacterial small subunit ribosomal RNA", at positions 338 to 795 of the family's 1533-position model. The record is from RNAcentral. Lineage: Bacteria; Pseudomonadati; Pseudomonadota; Gammaproteobacteria; Oceanospirillales; Halomonadaceae.